CGUUGAUACCAACUUUAAAGGGGAUUGGUGUUGGUUUGUUCAUGAUUAUUUUUUCACUCUGCUUUCAUCAAGCUGAAUAAAUCAGAGACUUAUUACUAAUUACUGAAUAAAUCAGGUCUGAGUAUUAGCCUGCCACGGCAGGUGUAAAUUGGUUUUGUGACAAAAAAAAAUUACUCUUUAACAAUGGCACAAUUAUGACCGAAGGGAACGGUUUGAAGGGAAAUAAAAGACUCAAUGAAACCUCCUCAUAAUCAGGAGGGAAAAUUCUGGCUGAAAACAAUUCAGGACAACAGGAUGCGGACAAGACCAAACAAACAGAGACAGUUACCUUUUACUAGCUCUUCUCCUUUGUUGAUUCCACUGAUUUAGUUUUGAUGAUCGUUGAAACUAUUGCAACUAUCGGCAAUGGGGAUUGUCCCUGCCCAUUAUGACAAGUCUUUUUGGAUAAUGGACCGACUCCUUCAGACAAAAUCAAAAUAACAAAGAUGUGCUUGGGGUAGUCUCCAGGGUUAUGCUUUGAACAUUUUUUAAAUAUUCUAAGUCCUUAUUUUAUCUAUUGUUGAUUGAGUAGUUCCCUCCUGAAAAUGAGAUCUUCUAAUUAUCUGUGUAAUUUCAUAUAGGUUUCAUUGAGAUUUGUCUACUUAGCUUUGGGAUGGUGGCCAGCUGCAUUUUUUUAGGUCCCUUGUUGGAUGAUCUCUUGUGAAAGACAACCUUCUCGAAUAAGGAGUCUCUAUCUGAAAACUAUUUUGCGGCAAGAUUUAGCUUUCUGUGAUAAGGAAACCAAUAUGGGAGAGGUGGUGGGGCGGAUGUCUGGUGAUGCUCUUCUUAUACAAGACGCCAUGGGUAGGGAAAUUUGUAUAGCUGACAUCAACAUUCCUUGCGGGCUUUGUCAUUGCAUUUACCAAAGGCUGGCUUCUCACACUUGUUAUGUUAUCCAUCAUUCCUCUACUUGUCAUCUUUGGUGGAGUGAUGUCCUUCAUCCUAUCUAGGAUGGUGUCCCGUGGACAAGAUGCUUAUGCCAAGGCAGCAACGGUGGUUGAACAGACAAUUGGCUCCUUUAAAAUGGCAUGUCAUAAGUUUAAAUUAUUGUGAUGCCCAUGCUCUGAUGAAAUUUAUAUUGGGGCUGCAUCUUUUACAGGGGAGAAGCAAGUUGUGGCCAGCUAUAACGAGUCCCUAAUUAAAGAUUACCAUUCAGGUUCAAAUGAAGGGCUGGCAAGUAGAUUAGGUCUUGGGUCGCAUUUUGCUACAUAAACAUUUUGCUAUUAUGUACUCCAGCUAUGCUUUGGCAAUCUGGUACGGUGCAAGGUUCAUCUUGGAAAAAGGAUAUAUUGGUGGUCAAGUUCUCAAUGUUUCCGACGCGAAGCUUCUCCAUUAAGUAGCAAGCGAUUUACUUUUUAAGGGAGAAUUUUCUGCAAAAAGGUGUGAUGCUGGUGGUGAAUUGGCGAUGCAUGAGAGGAAUACUACUUGGUUGGAUGAAUAGGAAAGUUCUCGAUCUAUCCUUCAGGUUGAAGCCAAAGGAACUUUCUGUUUAGACGGCUUUUGCUGCAGGAUGUAGAACUCCCAAAAAUCGGAAAAGUGUAAAAGCAAUGGGGGCAGUUAGGCUUGUUUUCAAUUUGAAGCUGAAGUGCCAGAAAGCAAUACUACAAGAAAGGCUCUAUGCCUAUUCCUAACUUCUGAUGUAGGACAUCACAACUGAUAUCUUCUUCUCAGUUGGGAAAAACUUGGUCCAUAUAGUUGUGCUUCUUAUGCAACUAAUGUUCUAAAUGAAACUUACAAGAUGACUGAUUUAUUACUCCAAAAUAGUGUUUUUAGUUUACUCUUCUAAAUUUUCCAUUCUUUUAAAGUGCAUUUCCGUUCUCCGGGUUAUGUACUGAAGGAUCUGAGAAAAAUUAGAGAACUGGGUGCUAUGGGUGCUUCGUUCGAUCAUGGGGAGGAUGGCAAUCUGCAUCUAGCCAGGGAAGGGGGCCACUCCCAUCACCGAAUUGUGUAUGCUGCUGAUAUGAUAGGCAGAAAGAUAGAAAGGACCCUAUUAGAGGCAGAUGUUAAGGAUCCUAAUAGAUAUGUGUUUGAACACCAUUUUGCUAUAGAUUUGUUGACCACUCAGGUGCAUUGAUCAUGAUUCUGAAGAUGUACCAAUGGAAUUUAACAAAGUUGCAACUUGACUACAUUUGAUCUUUAUGUUGUGAAUAGUGUACAGAGAUUUGCAUAUGCUACUGUUUGUGAUAAUUGACUUCAUGUAGAUACCUAUAAAAUAUUAGAUCUUACACCUGUAGAAGUGCUCCCUGAAGCUCUAUUAAUUGGCGCUAUUACUUUCAAUUAAUAUGUCUUAAAAAUAAGUACUCAUCACAAUGGGCAUUC
This is a long non-coding RNA of Solanum dulcamara, 2358 nucleotides long. RefSeq lists it as uncharacterized. NCBI's taxonomy places the organism in Eukaryota, Viridiplantae, Streptophyta, Magnoliopsida, Solanales, Solanaceae. The record is from RefSeq and is a predicted model, not a curated record. The transcript has 8 exons.